UGUUCUUAGUUUCCAUGAUCAAUUCACUUAACUAAUUAAAAUCCAACCAAUAUUAGUGGUGGCUACAUUUGAAAGCAUUAGAAGAAGAAGAAGAAGAAGAAGAAGAAGAAGAAGAAGAAGAAAUGAAUAUAUUCUUCCCAAGUGGAAGUUGAGAUCAGGAGAUUGUAUAUAUAUAUAUAUGUACAUAUGAAUCAUGUUUGCUGUUUGGCAAUAAACAGCAAAAAGUUUGGUCCAUUUCCAGUAAUGGAGUGGACACUGAACACUGAACAGGUUAAGGUUGGCGGGAAGCCGCGUGAUGGCCAACUACCUUGCAGCAAACUGCAUUCAGAUCACGAGGCAAAUAUGUGGUUGAUAUGUUGCGAGACAUAGAAGGUGGCAGUGGCACACGUACAUGAUUUUGGUAGGGGAGUGAGAGGCUCUCUUGUUUCCUCUGCUCAGCUCUGGGUGGUUGCAAAUUGUGGCAGUGGUGCACUAGGAAUCCUUGUAUCACUCUUCAAAAUGCCCCUUUAUUUGAUCUCUUGUUGUUAGGGACCAUUAGAUUGUGAGGGUUGGUGUUGGUGGUGUCUGUGGUGGAUUCCUUCACCUCUGCUCCCCACUGGAAAUGUCUCUCCUUUGUUGCGCCUGGGGUUCAAAGGGGUUGAACAUUCUCAAAUUGCUCGAACUGCCUUCACUUUUGGUAUUAUUGCUGUUCUUCCAUUCUACAGUUUGAUGGUUCUAGCUCCAAAAUCUGAACUUGCAAGUAUUUCCCCCUAUGUAAAGUUGUAAACAUCUAAUCUUUUGUCUAUUUGAAACGUAUAUGCAUUGUUGCUCGACUGAUAUCAGACCAGAAGAUCCAUGAAAAGCAGUAUACCAAAUGUCAUGCUAGCUGUUGUAUAUGCGGUAAUUCUUUACCUCUUUUGGACACCAGAGACACUGGAAUUGCUGUUUGCCAUUACCCGGCAUGACUAAAAUGUUCUCAAUUGAAACAACGACUGCUUCAGCUUGGCGUCACUUACUCACCAUCGAUCUUUUUGUUGCAAGUUCUUGAGUCAAAGAAAGCAAAGAUGGAGGAGUAGAGGGGAAAGCUUAAGAGAAGCCUUGAUUUUCACUCAUCACGAGUCUUGGAGCAGAGGGCUCAGCUUGACUUGGUUCUUACUCAGAGUGAGGGCUAGUAUUGCUUUGGGGUUCUUCGCCCUAGGGGGGUCUGUCCCUCUAGUUGGCUCUUUGUCUUUUUCGUUUAGUAGUUUUGUUGUAUCCUAUACUCUUUUCCCUACUCCUGGUGGGUUGACUUUUGGCACCCGUUGUUGGUGCUUUGUGUACUUGUGU
Molecule: RNA transcript, 1305 nt
Organism: Dioscorea cayenensis subsp. rotundata (Guinea yam)
Lineage: Eukaryota; Viridiplantae; Streptophyta; Magnoliopsida; Dioscoreales; Dioscoreaceae
Exons: 4
Source: RefSeq, a predicted model, not a curated record